CAAAGCCUUCAUGUAUUUCCUUAGGAAACUCAGUGUUGCUGCAGAAACCUACCUCUUCAUCGUUCCCCCUUCCACCGUAUUUCAAAUACACGUUGCCGCCUCUCCUCCAAUCGCGAAGGAUGACCGCUCAUGCUUCAUUCAACGUUCAACGGCGGCUUCAUCUCCUUGAACGAAAGUGGGAAGGAAAACAGGAACGAAAUAGAAGAGAGCUUAAUCCAUUGCACAGUUGACGGCGAAGAGCGAAUUCGGCGCGUUGCGUUCCGAGAUGAGGCUCGAAGAUCCCGCUCGCUUAUGUUGAGGUGAAGACGAAGAUUGGAGGAUCUUCGAUUCGUUCUUGGUUCCAAGUUCCGAUGUGAUUUCAGGUCUAUGAAGGCUUAUGACUGCUGUUGUUAUGAUGAUGCAAGAUGCAUUGUGCAUUGUUAUUGUGGUUUCCUGCUGUUGACAUAAAGUCGUGAUGUCGCUGAAUGUCAAGUUGUGGUUAUUACUAUCAAUAUACUCAUGCUGGUAUUUGCAAUGAUUGUUGAGUAAGAUUUGUGUCGGCUUAUGUGCAUUUGCUUGUUUGAAAAGGAUUGCAUAGGUAGAUACAUGAACUGUUUUGAAAUGUCGAUUAUUUAUGUUAAUGUUAUUGAAUGCUAGGUGUUGAAAUGCAGAAACUGGCUUAAAUGGAUUUGUUUUGACCAAUUGUGUUUGAAUCAUGUUUGGUCCCCCUUCAUGGAGUGAUGGAUCAAAACAAUGGUGUGAGAAUUGGAAUGGAUUGGCAAGGAGGGUGAUCAUAGUUCAUGUUUAGAUUAUAAUUUUAUAAUUUUUGGAUUUGGUUUUAAAUUGUUAAUGGCUCAUGAUUUUGGUUUUGUUUGAAGGUUCAUGGUCGAAUGCUCGUGUGCGCACAACUUGAAAGAUGGAUUAGCUUUUGGUUUGAGGAAAUUUGGAAUUAGGCUUGGAAACAUUGUAAUCAAACUAACCAAUGCAAUGUAAAUGUGUAUAGGUCAUGACUUUGGACAUAAUUUAGAACUUGGUUGAAACUCCUUCUAGUUUUCUUCUUUAUACAAUGUUUAAAUCAAAUUAAAACAUGUAAAUCAUGAUUGGAAAUAUGAAAUUGCACAGGUUAUGUAAUGAUUUUGUAUUGAUUUAUGGAAUGUUAUGCACUUGAAUUGA
This is a long non-coding RNA of Lathyrus oleraceus (garden pea), 1152 nucleotides long. RefSeq lists it as uncharacterized. NCBI's taxonomy places the organism in Eukaryota, Viridiplantae, Streptophyta, Magnoliopsida, Fabales, Fabaceae. The transcript has 3 exons. The record is from RefSeq and is a predicted model, not a curated record.